UACAGAGGCCCCUAGCGUUGUUCGGAAUUACUGGGCUUAAAGCGAGUGUAGGCGGCGGCAUAAGUCAGAUGUGAAAGCCCGGGGCCUAACCGCGGAACUGCAUUUGAUACUGUGUUGCUUGAGUACGGUAGAGGAGAGUGGAAUUCCUGGUGUAGGAGUGAAAUCCGUAGAUAUCAGGAGGAAUACCAAUGGCGAAGGCGGCUCUCUGGACCGGUACUGACGCUGAGGCGCGAAAGCUAGGGGAGCAAACGGG
RNAcentral lists this ribosomal RNA (253 nucleotides) under uncultured bacterium. RNAcentral's name for it is "partial 16S ribosomal RNA". It matches the Rfam family "Bacterial small subunit ribosomal RNA", at positions 524 to 776 of the family's 1533-position model. The record is from RNAcentral.